Long non-coding RNA from Macrobrachium nipponense, 297 nucleotides. RefSeq lists it as uncharacterized. The record is from RefSeq and is a predicted model, not a curated record. The transcript has 2 exons. NCBI's taxonomy places the organism in Eukaryota, Metazoa, Arthropoda, Malacostraca, Decapoda, Palaemonidae.
UCCACCACCAACAGUGAUCCACCCCAGCCAUCAACGAGCCAUAUGACCGCCACCACACCACUGCCUCCCUCCACCACUGGUGCUCCAACACAAACUCUCACCAGUUCAAUGCGUAGAAAGAUCAGUAUUAAAAAAAAAAAGAAAAAGAAGGUGUACAAUAGCUGCUCUGCUGGAGCAUACUAGUCGCCGUGGGAUGUGUCAACUUUAAAUGCCAUUUUCUCAAAAAUUUUGCAUUCAGCAGAUGGGAGAAGAGUCCAGGUAUCAAGAUUGCCCUAAAAUAAAAUUUUCAAUUAGUUA